RNAcentral lists this ribosomal RNA (429 nucleotides) under Pseudomonadota bacterium. RNAcentral's name for it is "Proteobacteria bacterium partial 16S ribosomal RNA". It matches the Rfam family "Bacterial small subunit ribosomal RNA", at positions 355 to 776 of the family's 1533-position model. Lineage: Bacteria; Pseudomonadati; Pseudomonadota. The record is from RNAcentral.
UGGGGAAUAUUGGACAAUGGGCGAAAGCCUGAUCCAGCCAUGCCGCGUGGGUGAAGAAGGUCUUCGGAUUGUAAAGCACUUUAAGUUGGGAGGAAGGGCAGUAAGCGAAUACCUUGCUGUUUUGACGUUACCGACAGAAUAAGCACCGGCUAACUCUGUGCCAGCAGCCGCGGUAAUACAGAGGGUGCAAGCGUUAAUCGGAAUUACUGGGCGUAAAGCGCGCGUAGGUGGUUCGUUAAGUUGAAUGUGAAAGCCCCGGGCUCAACCUGGGAACUGCAUCCAAAACUGGCGAGCUAGAGUAGGGCAGAGGGUGGUGGAAUUUCCUGUGUAGCGGUGAAAUGCGUAGGUAUAGGAAGGAACACCAGUGGCGAAGGCGACCACCUGGGCUCAUACUGACACUGAGGUGCGAAAGCGUGGGGAGCAAACAGG